This 394-nucleotide ribosomal RNA is filed under the name uncultured bacterium. RNAcentral describes it as "partial 16S ribosomal RNA". It matches the Rfam family "Bacterial small subunit ribosomal RNA", at positions 338 to 729 of the family's 1533-position model. The record is from RNAcentral.
CCUACGGGAGACAGCAGUGAGGAAUAUUGGUCAAUGGGCGCGAGCCUGAACCAGCCAAGUAGCGUGAAGGAUGACUGCCAUACGGAUUGUAAACUUCUUUUGUCAAGGAAUAAAGUCAGGCACGUGUGCCUGUUUGAAUGUACUUUAUGAAUAAGGAUCGGCUAACUCCGUGCCAGCAGCCGCGGUAAUACGGAGGAUCCGAGCGUUAUCCGGAUUUAUUGGGUUUAAAGGGAGCGUAGGUGGGUUGUUAAGUCAGUUGUGAAAGUCUGCGGCUCAACCGUAAAAGUGCAAUUGAAACUGGCAGUCUUGAGUAGAGGAGAGGUAGGCGGAAUGCGUGGUGUAGCGGUGAAAUGCUUAGAUAUAGCGAAGAACUCCGAUUGCGAAGGCAGCAUAC